AUUAGAGAAAGACAUGCUCCUGACAUUGUUAAACUAGUAGGAUUAUAAACCUGGAGCUGCCAUGAGCGCUUUUGCUGAUACUGGGGCAGCAUCUGAGAAUGAAGGAGGACUCAGAAUCACGAGCCGAUUUCUAAGGAGAUUUGCCCAGCAGGCUGCCAGAGGAAGUGUGGUUCAGAGCUCUCCACGUUCACAUCAGACUUGUCCUCUUCUUGCUGCUGGAGCAAGGGUGGAUGUUCUCAGGGCCGGUGACAGAAACGGAUCUUUUAAAAAUGACUUCCCUGCUCAGCUGCCAGGUUGGAAGGGCUUGAACUUGGGGUCUCGAGGCCCCGUCCCUGGCCCUGCUGGAGGUCCAGCGCUGCAGGUUUGCCGACAGUGAGGAUUUCCUCCUCCUGCUCCCCAAGGCCCAGUCUGUCCAGUCCUGUGACCAGGCACAUGUGGCCUUGUCACGAAGAAUCGGCUCCGGGGGAGGUUGGAGGGUGGAGAUUUUAUUUAUUCCUGAGAGACACAGAGAGAGGCAGAGACAUAGGCAGAGGGAG
This is a long non-coding RNA of Canis lupus familiaris (dog), 536 nucleotides long. RefSeq lists it as uncharacterized. Lineage: Eukaryota; Metazoa; Chordata; Mammalia; Carnivora; Canidae. The record is from RefSeq and is a predicted model, not a curated record. The transcript is spliced from 3 exons.